Molecule: ribosomal RNA, 453 nt
Filed under: uncultured organism
Description: partial 16S ribosomal RNA
Rfam family: Bacterial small subunit ribosomal RNA
Source: RNAcentral
GUACACUCCUGCGGGAGGCAGCAGUGGGGAAUAUUGGACAAUGGGCGCAAGCCUGAUCCAGCCAUGCCGCGUGAGUGAUGAAGGCCCUCGGGUUGUAAAGCUCUUUCACCGGAGAAGAUAAUGACGGUAUCCGGAGAAGAAGCCCCGGCUAACUUCGUGCCAGCAGCCGCGGUAAUACGAAGGGGGCUAGCGUUGUUCGGAAUUACUGGGCGUAAAGCGCACGUAGGCGGAUCGAUCAGUCAGGGGUGAAAUCCCAGGGCUCAACCCUGGAACUGCCUUUGAUACUGUCGAUCUGGAGUAUGGAAGAGGUGAGUGGAAUUCCGAGUGUAGAGGUGAAAUUCGUAGAUAUUCGGAGGAACACCAGUGGCGAAGGCGGCUCACUGGUCCAUUACUGACGCUGAGGUGCGAAAGCGUGGGGAGCAAACAGGAAUAGAUACCCCAGUAGUCCCAUGA